ACGUACUUGCUGACCCAGAAUGCUCUUUGACAUAUGCUGCCAAAAAAUAAACCUGUCCUCCCACAGAAACCUCAAUUGUCCUUUCAUGAAGAAUGAAAAUUUUGAGCUUAGAAUUACCACUUUAAUGCUUGAUUUCAACUAGUUAAGUAAAUUAAUAGUUAUAUAUCAAUAUAUUUGCCUUCAAGCAGCUUAGAUUGUAGCUAGAACAAAAGCUAUAGCAGGGAUGAAAUCGGUGCAAGAUUGUACAAGCCCCUGACUCUGCCUUUUAGGGAGGCUAAAGAAGAGAGAGGCAUGUAUGGGUUUGUUGACUUGGGAACUGAGAGUAGGUUUGAGCCCACCCUUUUGCGUGGUCAGCCUUCCUGUCCAGAGGAAAAGUGUAGAGUGGGAAUGAGAAGGGUAGGAGGAAAAGAUCACUGGGGAGCAGGAAAAUGGGCAGCUGUGUUGUAUCUCCUCAUCUCUUUCCUCCCCUCUACAGGGGAUGCCAGAGAAGAAAUUUCUUUUUUUUUUUUUUGAGACGGAGUCUUGCUCUGUUGCCCAGGCUGGAGUGCAGUGGCACCAUCUCAGCUAACUGCAACCUUUGCCUCCUGGGUUUAAGCGAUCCUCCUGCCUCAGCCCCCCAGUAGCUGUAAUUACAGGCACGCACCACCACGCCCAGCGAAUUUUUCUAUUUUUAGUAGAGAUGGGGUUUUGCCAUGUUGGCCAGGCUGAUCUCGAACUCGUGACCUCAGGUGAUCCGCCCGCCUCGGCCUCCCAAAGCACUGGGAUUACAGGUGUGAGCCACUGUGCCCGGCCCACCAGAGAAGAAAUUUCUAAAGACAGGAGUGGAAAGAGUUUAGAAAGAGAAGCUAGUCAGAGAGGCAGUCAGGCUUGUGGGAGAAUGCUGUGUAAUCCUGUGUCACCAAAGGCUGUUCUUUUCUCAAGAAGCUGAGAUCCAGGAUUAGAGUGGAAAACAAGAAAAACAGAUACAUCAUUUUGUUGACACUCAAUUGCCUUGGCAUUUUGUUUUAUGUGAUUGCUUGCAAGACCACACUUUCAAUCCCUUCCUUCAAUAAGCAUUUGUUAUGCAUCCAAUGAAACAGAAAACAUAAAAUCAUCUUUAACACUCCUUCUUCUCUAAUAGACCUAAAGAAUUCAUUGAGUGUGUCUCCCAUAUCCGACUGUUGUCCUGGCUGCUGCUGGGUUCCCUCACUCACAAUGCAGUGUGCCCAAAUGCCUCCUCUCCCUGCCUGCCCAUUCCUCUGGAUGCAGGCUCCCACGUUGCAGACCAUCUUAUUGUUAUCCUGAUUGGAUUUCCAGAGCAAUCAAAGGUAAGUGAUUUCUGCAAGAUUAAGACCGUAUGCAUCGCAAUUGCUAAUGGAAACCUUAUCAGCCAAUUAUGUUUCUUCUGAGAAGAAAAUGCAUCUUAUCACUUGCCCUCCUGUGGAUGUUAGAAACACAACUUUGUGCUAAUGUCUUAUUUAAAGUUGUUUAGAUUCCCAGACUGUCUUUCCCCCGCCCCCAAAUUGUUUUUUGGCUUACUUUUAUGAAGAUAAAUCGUGGAGUCAAGCAAGAGUUGGCUUCCCAGGCAUUUCUGUCUCAAAAUAAUGAAGAGAAAUAAAAGGCUAGAAAUAUAAUCAAAAUUCUGUGAUCAGUUUUUAAAACCAGAGACAAAACGGAGGAAAAUUUAUUCUCUAUCUAAUUCUUCAUGUACCAUCUUUUCAACUGAAAUCUCUAGAGAUACAGGAAAAUACAAAAUGAAAACAAGAAGGCCAGUUGGGAACUCACUAAAGCACACAUUGGCAUGACCUACACAGGGGAACUUUGUCAACUGCAGAGACAGAUGAUGUGCUAAAGGAAGAAAAUAGACCCAAGGCGGGCACCAGUCGUGAGCCCGUCCAGGCAAACCAGACACAUUGGUACUAAUCAGCUCCGAGGAGCCAGGGGACCUUCACAGAGCUUCGGCAAGUUCUGGGAGGUCACAGUGGCUUUGGGGACAGCUCGGGUUUGGGACAGGGCAAGCUGACGAUGUGAUAAAAUGGCGCACCCAUCCCAAUGAUCCAAAUGAUGUUCACAAAAGGAAUUAGGCAGUCAAUUCCUAAUAUUUCUACUCAGAUCCGGGUUUGAUUCCUAACUAUGGUACUUGCGAUUUUGUGAGCUUGACAAGUGUAUCUAACCUCUCUGUUAUUCAGAUUUUCGUGUGUGAAAUAGACGAGGGGAUGGUUGGAGAGUGAUGGAGGUGAUCUAGGAAAAGCCUUUGGCGCCACCUCUGGCGUGUUGUAGGAGGUGCUCUCUCUGCACGUGCUUUCCGCUAGGAGGAGGAUCUCUGCUGCUGCUGCUAUGAUUAUGAACUUCUGGGCGUGUAUUCACGUAUAUCACCUCCUUUACUCCCAUGCUUUGAAGAGACUACUAUUAUCCCCAUUUUACAGAUGAGGAAACAUCCUAACAUGGCAGAAUGAUUAUUCUCCCUAAUCUAGUUUAGGGAUGGGAAUGUCAGUUUCAUUAAAGGGCAGGGGGGUGGGUAGAUUUCUUCAGCAAAUUAAGGUGCCUUCUCUUCAGAAAUGUGCUUUGUUCUCUGAGCACACUCCCACUGGUGGAGAAGAGAGCACAGCAGAUAGUUUUAAGGUGAUGAAUCAUGACUUUGUAACUCUGAGAUAACGUUAUGCCUUUGUGCUUCCCCUGUGCUCCCUGGCAAGACCGAAGCCAUGCGGGGAGGGCUCCGUGGAGGGCCACAGCCUGCUGGGAUGCAAUGCACUGAUGCCGUCUUCUUCCUUUUCAGACCUCCGUGCUGCACAUGUGCUCCCUCUUCCACGCGUUCAUCUUUGCUCAGCUCUGGACAGUAUAUUGCGAGCAAAGUGCCGUCGCUACAAAUCUCCAAAAUCAGAAUGAAUUCAGCUUCACGGCGAUACUGACAGCACUAGAAUUUUGGAGUAGGGUGACACCCAGCAUCCUUCAGCUAAUGGCCCAUAACAAAGUGAUGGUAGAAAUGGUGUGUCUCCAUGUGAUUAGUUUAAUGGAGGCAUUGCAGGAAUGCAAUUCAACCAUUUUUGUCAAGCUGAUACCUAUGUGGUUGCCAAUGAUUCAGUCAAAUAUCAAGCACUUAUCUGCGGGACUCCAGCUUCGCCUCCAGGCUAUUCAGAACCAUGUGAACCACCACAGCCUAAGGACGCUGCCGGGCUCGGGCCAGAGCAGUGCUGGCCUGGCAGCCCUCCGCAAGUGGUUGCAGUGCACUCAGUUCAAAAUGGCCCAGGUGGAGAUCCAGUCCUCGGAAGCAGCCUCUCAAUUUUAUCCUCUAUGAGUGGACUCCUCGGCGCUCAGUGUCAACACUCUGGUUUAGCAAUAAUGGGUUUAAAAACAAACAAUUUGAUCCAAGCAGGUUGGGGAACAUAUUGGUACUGUACAUUCUCUUUCUAGUUUAGUAAAAGAUGUGCAAAGGCCAGAGAGGGCCGAAAAUGAAGCUUUCUUGCUACACAUAUUUCUGAUGACUCCUUGGGCUAUCUGAUUAAGUGUUUCCUUACAUUAUUUUUUAAAAACCAAAUCAUUUUUCUUUAACUAACUUCUAUUUUUUUUAAGAAAAAAAAAUAGACUGGUGGGUACUCACAGAAAAGUUGUAUAAGUCCCCCUGUUGCUAUUUUUGAUGAUAGAGAAUAAAUAGGGUUUUUGAAACCUUUGUAGUGUUUUUUCUUAAAAUCCACUCUUGGCAAUGCAAUAAAAAAAACCGUCACCAUAAGCCAGUG
Molecule: small RNA, 3713 nt
Filed under: Pongo abelii (Sumatran orangutan)
Lineage: Eukaryota; Metazoa; Chordata; Mammalia; Primates; Hominidae
Description: retained intron
Source: RNAcentral